RNAcentral lists this ribosomal RNA (232 nucleotides) under uncultured bacterium. Its description in RNAcentral is "partial 16S ribosomal RNA". It matches the Rfam family "Bacterial small subunit ribosomal RNA", at positions 99 to 334 of the family's 1533-position model. The record is from RNAcentral.
CGGACGGGUGAGUAAUGUCUGGGAAACGGCCCGACGUGGGGGAGGUAACUACUGGAAACGGUAGCUAAUACCGCAUAAUGUCUGCGGACCAAGCGGGGACCGUCCGGGCCUCGCGCCAUCAGAUGAACCCAUAUGGGAUUAGCUUGUAGGUAAGGUAACGGCUUACCUAGGCGACGAUCCCUAGCUGGUCUGAGAGGAUGAUCAGCCACACUGGGACUGAGACACGGCCCAG